GGACUGGCUUUAGCUCAGCGGUUCCUUCGGCAAGUGCAUUCUGCGCUUAAACCGUCCUUUCGAGGGUGGUUCGAGACCCGCGGGCGCUUUCCAGUCCUUUU
Molecule: vault RNA, 101 nt
Filed under: Rhinolophus ferrumequinum (greater horseshoe bat)
Lineage: Eukaryota; Metazoa; Chordata; Mammalia; Chiroptera; Rhinolophidae
Description: Vault RNA (ENSRFEG00010015384.1)
Rfam family: Vault RNA
About the family: This family of RNAs are found as part of the enigmatic vault ribonucleoprotein complex. The complex consists of a major vault protein (MVP), two minor vault proteins (VPARP and TEP1), and several small untranslated RNA molecules.
Source: Rfam by way of RNAcentral